RNAcentral lists this ribosomal RNA (500 nucleotides) under uncultured bacterium. RNAcentral describes it as "partial 16S ribosomal RNA". It matches the Rfam family "Bacterial small subunit ribosomal RNA", at positions 30 to 523 of the family's 1533-position model. The record is from RNAcentral.
AUUGAACGCUGGCGGAAUGCUUUACACAUGCAAGUCGAACGGCAGCACGGGGGCAACCCUGGUGGCGAGUGGCGAACGGGUGAGUAAUACAUCGGAACGUGCCCAGUCGUGGGGGAUAACGUAGCGAAAGUUACGCUAAUACCGCAUACGAUCUACGGAUGAAAGCGGGGGACCGUAAGGCCUCGCGCGAUUGGAGCGGCCGAUGUCAGAUUAGGUAGUUGGUGAGGUAAAGGCUCACCAAGCCGACGAUCUGUAGCUGGUCUGAGAGGACGACCAGCCACACUGGGACUGAGACACGUCCCAGACGCCUACGGGAGGCAGCAGUGGGGAAUCUUGGCCAAUGGGCGCAAGCCUGAUCCAGACAUUCCGCGUGCAGGACGAAGGCCUUCGGGUUGUAAACUGCUUUUGUACGGAACGAAAAGGCUCUGGUUAAUACCUGGGGCUCAUGACGGUACCGUAAGAAUAAGCACCGGCUAACUACGUGCCAGCCGCCGCGGUAA